Molecule: ribosomal RNA, 253 nt
Filed under: uncultured bacterium
Lineage: Bacteria
Description: partial 16S ribosomal RNA
Rfam family: Bacterial small subunit ribosomal RNA
Source: RNAcentral
UACAGAGGGCGCGAGCGUCGUCCGGAAUCACUGGGCGUAAAGGGCGCGUAGGCGGUUCUUUAAGUCGGAUGUGCAAUCCUCGGGCUCAACCUGAGAACUGCAUCCGAGACUGAAGGGCUAGAGUGUCAGAGAGGAUAAUGGAAUUCCACGUGUAGCGGUGAAAUGCGCAGAGAUGUGGAGGAACACCAGUGGCGAAGGCGGUUAUCUGGAUGACAACUGACGCUGAGGCGCGAAAGUGUGGGGAGCAAACAGG